RNAcentral lists this small nuclear RNA (107 nucleotides) under Theropithecus gelada (gelada). Lineage: Eukaryota; Metazoa; Chordata; Mammalia; Primates; Cercopithecidae. The record is from RNAcentral.
GUGCUUACUUCGGCAACACAUAUACUACAACCGGAAUGACACAGAGAAGAUUAGCAUGGCCCCUGUGCAAGGAUGAAACGCAAAUUUGUGAAGCGUUCCGUAUCUUU